CCUACGGGGCGCAGCAGGCGCGAAACCUCUGCAAUGCGGGAAACCGUGACAGGGGGAUCCCAAGUGCUCAUGCAUUGCAUGGGCUGUUCUCUGGUCUAAGUAACCAGAGGAGUAAGAGCUGGGCAAGACCGGUGCCAGCCGCCGCGGUAAUACCGGCAGCUCGAGUGGUAGCCGCGAUUAUUGGGCCUAAAGCGUUCGUAGCCGGAUAAGUAAGUCUUUGGUUAAAUCCUACGACUCAACCGUGGGAAAUCUAGAGAUACUGCUUGUCUUGAGACCGGGAGAGGUUGGAGGUACUCCUGGGGUAGGGGUGAAAUCCUAUAAUCCUAGGGGGACCACCUGUGGCGAAGGCGUCCAACUGGAACGGGUCUGACGGUGAGGGACGAAACCUAGGGGAGCGAGCCGGAUUAGAUACCCACGUAGUCC
RNAcentral lists this ribosomal RNA (423 nucleotides) under uncultured Thermoplasmata archaeon. RNAcentral describes it as "bacterial SSU rRNA". It matches the Rfam family "Archaeal small subunit ribosomal RNA", at positions 322 to 747 of the family's 1478-position model. The record is from RNAcentral. Lineage: Archaea; Methanobacteriati; Thermoplasmatota; Thermoplasmata.